UUUCUUCAAAUUUUGAUAGAAAAUACUUUAAACUAUCUAGAUUAAGGUUAACAUUCUUGAUCUUGAAUUUAAAAGUCCUAUGUUCAAAUUUUAAAGAUUAUUCAAUUUUCACCGUCCAUUUUGACAUGAUUUAUUUACUAAGUAAACGAUGUCGAAAAAAACUAAAAUUUUAUUCCAAAGAAUUUCAUAUAAACUAGAUCAUAUUUAACGGUAUGAAUCAUUAAUUUGAAUACCCUAAGAUCGAAAACAAGACUAUAGUACCGGAGCUCCGGUACUAUAGAUAGUAUAGUAGCCUAAUUCUAUAUAUAUAUAUAUAUAGGGUCCGGCUACUAUACUAUUAUGAGUACGAUCGCUCUCGUACGCAUAAAUCAUUUUCGAUGAUAGAGUUUCCGAAUCGACGAUCCAUACCGUUAAACGUUAUUUACAACAUUUAAAACUUUUAAAAAUCAAAUUUUAUAAUUUUUCGACAUCAUUUACCUUACGAUCAAGAGGUCACAAAUUUGACACUUUUUAAUGGCCAGUAUGGGAUACUUGCUAGUUUAACGGUGUAAAAGAAUCAGAGUUUGUUGAAUUUUUGAUAGAAAAUUUUAUUCACUACCUAGAUAAAGAUCAAUAACUCUGAUCUUGAAUUGAAGGAUCCGAUCAUCCUUUUGUAGGACGUCGUUCGAUUUUGACCGUUCAUCUUAUGCAUGCUUG
This 696-nucleotide long non-coding RNA is filed under the name Ananas comosus (pineapple). RNAcentral describes it as "long non-coding RNA (ACOM_LNC003852)". The record is from RNAcentral. Lineage: Eukaryota; Viridiplantae; Streptophyta; Magnoliopsida; Poales; Bromeliaceae.